Erinaceus europaeus (western European hedgehog) is the source of this 828-nucleotide non-coding RNA. NCBI's taxonomy places the organism in Eukaryota, Metazoa, Chordata, Mammalia, Eulipotyphla, Erinaceidae. The record is from the annotation of a RefSeq genome assembly.
CAGAGGGCAGGGCCUCAGAGGCAAGGGCACACUGGAAUAUCCACUGCCAUCGAUAAGAGGCCAUCGAUACCAGCCCACACAUCCCCCACCCUCAGGGAGCCCAGGGCAGCAGAUCCUUGGACCCUGACGGCAGAUGAGGCCUGGGUCAGGCCCCGCGGGCAUUAAGGCCCUAGAAUGGAAGAGCUUUGGCCCCAGGCAGUGCUGGUCCCUACUGCUGCUGCUGGGUCUGGCUGUAGGCUCCCAUGGCCUGUCUCCCUCCACAACAGCUCCAAGGACCAGGGCUCUGGGCCCAGGUGCCCCAGCAGGAAGCCUGUGGGACAGGUUCCUGCUCUGGCUUGGCCCCCAGGGGGCAGGUCCCAGGUGCUGGCCUGGCAGGUUUGGGGCUGAGCCUCAGUCACCAUGGUUUGUCUUUGGCCAAGGGACCGAACUCACCGUCCUAGGCCAGCCCAAGUCUGCACCCUCAGUCGUUCUAUUCCCACCCUCUUCUAAGGAGGUCAGCACCAAGAAGGCCACGCUGGUGUGUCUCAUCAGUGACUUCUACCCCAGUGGCCUAAUGGUGUCCUGGAAGGCAGAUGGCACCCCGGUCACCCAGGGUGUGGAGACCACGAAACCCUUGAAGCAGACCAACCACAAGUACACGGCCAGCAGUUACCUCAGCCUGUCGCUCGACAAGUGGCAGUCCCACAGCUGGUUCAGCUGCCAGGUCACACAUGAAGGGGGCACCGUAGAGAAGGCAGUGUCCCCUACACAAUGUCCUUAGGCUCCUUGAGUUUCUCCCACCCCUGAAAGUCUGAAGCCACUGUACCCUGAGGAGAAAAAUCUUCUACC